This 388-nucleotide ribosomal RNA is filed under the name uncultured bacterium. RNAcentral describes it as "bacterial SSU rRNA". It matches the Rfam family "Bacterial small subunit ribosomal RNA", at positions 29 to 412 of the family's 1533-position model. The record is from RNAcentral.
AAUGAACGCUGGCGGCGUGGAUUAGGCAUGCAAGUCGAACGCGAAAGUUCCCUUCGGGGAGCGAGUAGAGUGGCGAAAGGGUGAGUAAUGCUUGGAUGACCUGCCCUCGAGACGGGGACAACAGUUCGAAAGGACUGCUAAUACCCGAUAGUCCGGUUUAGAUGCGUCUAGAUCGGUAAAUGGUGCUUCCGCUCGAGGAGGGGUUCAAGUCCUAUCAGCUUGUUGGUGAGGUAACGGCUCACCAAGGCGAUGACGGGUAGCCGGACUGAGAGGUUGGCCGGCCACAUGGGAACUGAGACACUGUCCUGACUCCGUACGGGAGGCUGCAGUCGAGAAUCUUCUGCAAUGGGACGAAAGCCUGACAGAGCGACGCCGCGUGGAGGAUGAA